CCACCCUUUAAUGUUUGAUGUUCUAACGUGGACCCGUAAUCCGGGUUGCGGACAGUGUCUGGUGGGUAGUUUGACUGGGGCGGUCUCCUCCUAAAGAGUAACGGAGGAGCACGAAGGUUGGCUAAUCCUGGUCGGACAUCAGGAGGUUAGUGCAAUGGCAUAAGCCAGCUUGACUGCGAGCGUGACGGCGCGAGCAGGUGCGAAAGCAGGUCAUAGUGAUCCGGUGGUUCUGAAUGGAAGGGCCAUCGCUCAACGGAUAAAAGGUACUCCGGGGAUAACAGGCUGAUACCGCCCAAGAGUUCAUAUCGACGGCGGUGUUUGGCACCUCGAUGUCGGCUCAUCACAUCCUGGGGCUGAAGUAGGUCCCAAGGGUAUGGCUGUUCGCCAUUUAAAGUGGUACGCGAGCUGGGUUUAGAACGUCGUGAGACAGUUCGGUCCCUAUCUGCCGUGGGCGCUGGAGAACUGAGGGGGGCUGCUCCUAGUACGAGAGGACCGGAGUGGACGCAUCACUGGUGUUCGGGUUGUCAUGCCAAUGGCACUGCCCGGUAGCUAAAUGCGGAAGAGAUAAGUGCUGAAAGCAUCUAAGCACGAAACUUGCCCCGA
Molecule: ribosomal RNA, 603 nt
Filed under: Salmonella enterica subsp. enterica serovar Infantis
Lineage: Bacteria; Pseudomonadati; Pseudomonadota; Gammaproteobacteria; Enterobacterales; Enterobacteriaceae
Also listed under: 12 other names
Description: partial 23S ribosomal RNA
Rfam family: Bacterial large subunit ribosomal RNA
Source: RNAcentral